Molecule: long non-coding RNA, 421 nt
Organism: Helianthus annuus (common sunflower)
Lineage: Eukaryota; Viridiplantae; Streptophyta; Magnoliopsida; Asterales; Asteraceae
Exons: 3
Source: RefSeq, a predicted model, not a curated record
UGUGUGCGCGCGCACGCAUACAGAGAGAGAUAGAAGGGGAAACCUUGUUCUUGAUAAUCUCCUCUAAAUCAUUCAAUUCAAACUGAAAUCGAAGUGAUUAUAGUGAAUGCUUGAAGUUCUGAUAAGUACUACUUCAUCCUAACACAAGGCGACUCGAGUGAUAAGGUAGGUGAUAAAGCCUGGAGUGAUACACGACUUAAAAGAAAGCUCUAAGGUGAACUCAUAGCAAGUGUCGGAUGAUGAAGAUCAAGUCUCGAAGGACUGAACACUCUUUAAUUAAAUGAAAUGUCUUCAGUUUUUGUUAAAAAAAUUUAAUGAAUCUAGUAUUAUGUUUAGUCAUGACAAGCUACUAGUAACUUGUUAGUUUAUUAUCUAAACUCUUUGGAUGUUUAUGAAAAAAAAUUACUAGUUUUAAGGGGAA